CCCUUAGAUGUUCUGGGCCGCACGCGCGCUACACUGAUGCAUUCAACGAGCCUAUCCUUGACCGACAGGUCCGGGUAAUCUUUGAAUCUGCAUCGUGACGGGGAUAGAUUAUUGCAAUUAUUAAUCUUCAACGAGGAAUGCCUAGUAGGCGCAAGUCAUCAGCUUGCGUCGAUUACGUCCCUGCCCUUUGUACACACCGCCCGUCGCUCCUACCGAUUGGGUGUGCUGGUGAAAUGUUCGGAGCGGCCGUUUGUCGCGGUUUCCGCGUCAUGUGGCUGAGAAGUUCAUUAAACCCUCCCACCUAGAGGAAGGAGAAGUCGUAACA
Molecule: ribosomal RNA, 325 nt
Filed under: uncultured eukaryote
Lineage: Eukaryota
Description: partial 18S ribosomal RNA
Rfam family: Eukaryotic small subunit ribosomal RNA
Source: RNAcentral